AACCCUUCCUUGGGUGACCUCACAACCUGUGAUCUUCUCCGUGUCCCAGUCUCAGUCUGUCCCCGAAACAGUAUCUUCUAACUGGGGGCCUUUGACCACCACCUUCGUGAAGUUCAAGGUCUGGGUCUCUGACGAGUUCACUGCUGGUAAAUUUUUAGUUUGUCGGGAUAGCUAUAAAUGUAUGUUUGCCAAGGCUUCCACUCCUUUGGUUUUUAUGUGGCUUGUUUCCUGAGUGAACAGGCCAGAGUACAGACUGAUUUCUUUCACAAAAAUCAUUAGCUGGUUUACAGUCAUCACGGUUCGUGGUCUUAAUUUUGCCAUAUUUUAAUUUUAUGUAUUUUAUUGCGGUUUUAUUUACAUCCUCUUGAUGCGUACAUAUUAGAACAGGAGGAUCGUGUUGUUUUCAGUUCAGUGUGCGGGUAAGAUGUUAUCCCUUUAGUCCAGUGACUCCAAGAAGAGUUGGUUUGAAGGCUAGAUGCAGCCCCCAUUCACAGGGUGGGCUUGAAGACAGACUCCCAGGAGAGAAGGGACAGCAAUCAGUGUUUAUUGAGUGCGCACCUGGUGUUAGCUGUCGUCUUAGACACUGUCCACCUAUUAUUUCAUCUCCUAAGAUACGCUCUCUUAUUUUCCCACUUUGCACGAGAGGGAACCGAGGCUCAGACUCUUCCCGCUGUGCAGUCCAGAGCGACCAGAUCCAGUGCAGCAUCAGUGUGUGUUCCCAUGAAGCCUCCGACCUUGGGGUCCUCACUGCCUGACCUUCGUAAAAAUAUUUGAGGGGUAACUUGUGUGCAUCAUCAACACAUGUCUUCACUGUGUGGUUCAACAAACUGUGACAAAGCAUAUACUCAUUUAACUGACACCCCAGUCAAGACGUAGUGCAUUAACUUCACGAGAAAGCUCCCCCUGCCCGCUUCCAGCCACUCCGCUCCACCCACAGCCAUCCGCUUUCUUGAUUUCUUCACCAUAGAGUAGUUUUUCCUUGUUCUAGAACUUCAUGUACAUGGAAUUACUUGGCACACUAUUUGAGGCUUCCUUCAUUCAGCAUACUGCUUUUUUAAAAAAGAUUCAUCCAUGUCGUAUGUAUCGAGAGUUCACUCUUUUUUUAUUACUGAUAUUAUUAUCUGGAAAUGCUGUCAUUUAUUUAUUAAUUUACCCAUUAAUAGACAUUUGGGUUCUUGCCAGUUUGUUGAAUGCUGUCAACAUUCUACAUCUUGGUGCAGUUGUGUGUUUUCAUUUCUCUUGAGUUAAUAACUGGGGUUGGGAUAGUUUGGUUAGGGGAGGGGAUAUGUUUAAUGUCAUAAGUAACUGCCAGACUGCUUACCAACGUGGCCGUACUGUUUAAUGUUCUCACCACCAGUGUGUGAGAGUUCUGGUUGCUCUACAGUUGCCAAAAUUUGCCGUGUCAAGUUUUUUCUAGGGGUCGUGUUUGGCACCUCAUUUUUGCUUUAAUUUGGAUUGCCCUAAUGAUUAGAGAUGAAGGGCACGUUUCCAGUGCUAAUUGAGCCUUUGAAUAUCUUCCUUUAAGUAGUGUCUACUCCAGUCUUUUGCCCGUUUUUGAUUUUUUAAAAAAUUGGAUUAAUCCUAUACAUACUAUUGAUUUGUAAGGGUUCUUUAUAUAUUCUGGAUGUCCGUUGUCAGAUAUAUAUUUUUAUAAAUGUUUUCCUCCAGUCCGUGGUUGGUUUGUACAUUUUCUUCUUUUUAAACCACUUUAUUAAAGUCUGAUUGGUAUAUAAAAAGCUGUAGGUAUUUUAAAAUGUCUUUUCGUUUUUCUUAAGUCUAACUUAUCCUUACAUUUAGAGUAAACAUAAAAGAAAAAAAAUCUUCUAUGUUUAUUAUUGUCAUUGUCCUAUCUACCCUGAGGUGGCCCAGAUGAUUUCUUCUGUUUUCUUCUAGUAGUUUUGUCAUUUGGUUUUUACCUUAACUCCGUGACUCAUCUUGAGUUGAUUUUCCUAUGUGGAUUGAGGUUGGGUUUCCUUUUUUGCCAUAAGGACAUCAAGUUGCUCCAGCGCCAUUUGUUGAAAAGAUUCCUUUCCCUAUUGAAUUGUGUUGGUAACUUUGUGAAGAACCAAAUUACCGUGUAUAUGUACGUCCAUCCCUGGGCUUUAUUAUGUUCCAUUGGUUUCCACUUAUCUCUGUGUGCAUCCCAGGCCGACACUGAUCUGUGCCUUUACAUUUCCAUAUACCUUUCAGGAGUAGGCUGUCAGUUUCUAAAUAGAACACCCACUGGGAUUUCGAUUAGUACCGUAUUACAUGUACAGAUCCAUUUGAAGGAGAAUUGAUAUCCUAAUAAUAAUGAGUUUUCAAAUCCAUGAACAAAUCUCCCCAUUUAUUAGGAACUUCCAUAGUGUCCAUCAGCGAAGUUUCAUAGUUUUCAGAGUCCGAAUCUUGCGUAUAUGUUAAAUUUACCCUUAAGUAUUUUUGGUGCUGUUGUAAAUGGUAUAAUUUAAAACUUUUAUUUUAUAAUAGUUCAUUAUUGAUACGUUGAAAUAGAUUGUAUAUUUACCGUGUGUCCUGUGAUCUUGCUAAUUCACUUACUCAUUCUAGAACUUGUUUUACAGAUUCCUUAAGAUUUUCUACGAUAUGGAACUAUGUCAUCUGAAAAGAAAGGUGUUCUUACCUCUUUCUUCUAAAUUUAUAUGCCUUUUAUAUCUUAUUUCUGCCUUAUUUGCUCUGGCUAGGAUUUUCUGUUAAAUGUUAAAAGUAGUGAGGGCAGAAAUCCUUAUUUUAUUCCUCAUCUUACAGCAAAAUGUCAUUUUCUAUUAAGUAUGACAUUAGUUGUGGUUUUUAAAAAAUUGAUACUUUUUAUCACAUUAAGAGAUUUCCCUUUCUCAGUUUACUGGGAGUUUUUUUUUUUUUAAUUAUGAAUGGGAGUUGAAUUUUGAAUUUUGUCACAAUCUUUUCUGAAUCCAUGGAGAUGCCUGACCAUAAUGAGUUGGGAACUGUCCCCUCCUACUCUGUUCCCUGAAAGAGUUUGUGUGAGAUUGAUAAUAUUUAUUCCUUAAACAGAUGAUGGAAUUUAUCACUGAGAUCACAUAGGCCUGGGAUAUUCUCUGUAGAAAAUUCCACAAGGAAGCUUUUUAAUUGUGAAUUCAUUUUUUUCAACAGAUAGAGCACUGUUCAAGUUUUCCAUGCUUCUUGUGAGGUGCCGGUGAUUUAUAUCUUUCAAGGAAAGACAGAUGAAGGAGCUUCAUCUAUGAUAAACUUAUUGUGAUAGUUCCUUAUCAUUUUAAUGUCUGUAAUGAAAUAUUCUUUCAUUAUUGAUAUUAAUAAUUCAUGUUUCUCUUUUUGUUCUUGAGCAGAUUUGCUAAUAGUGCUCAAUUUAAAAAAUAUUUUUAAAGAAUCUACUUUUGGUUUUGUUGAUUUUUCACUAUUGUUUGAUUUUUAUUUCAUCACUUUCCCCUUUACUGUUGUCUCCUUUUAGUUACUUGAUUUAAAUUUGCUCUCCCUUUUCUAGCUUCUUCCUGGUAUUGACUCAUUGAUUUUAGACCGUGUUAUUUUCUAAUACAAAUUUUUAAAGCUAUAAAUUUUCCUCUAAGUACUGCUUUAAGGGCAUCGAUCACCUAAAUUUUGAUACAUUGUUUUUUUUCAUUGUCACUCAGAUAAAAUUAUUUUUUCAUUUCUCUAGUAUCUUUUUCUUUGAACCAUGGAUUAUUUAGAAGCAUGUUGUAUAUUUUAAGAAACAGUUGGCUAUUUUAUAGUUAUUUUUUCCUAUCAAUUUCGUAUUUCAUCCCACUAUUUCACAUUGACCUCUUUCAGUGCUCUUGUCAUACCUGAAUGCUCUUUGUCAUUUAAAUCCUGAUAGUGGGUUGAUACAGUAAAUAAUGCUGCAGUAGCAAUAUUUUGUGUGCAUGCAUAUAUUCUUGUCUUCACUCUUUGCUUCAGACAUAUUAUCAGAAGUGAAAUUACAGAUUUAAAGGGUCUCUAACUUUUAAAAUAAUCUUUUCUUUUUAAUAUUUUUGCCUAGCUGUCUUUGGCGUGUCUGCCACUCUUGCCUCAUCUCUGUGACUAAGAUUCCUGUUUCCCUGGAGUUUCCCUCUGGAUUCCUAUCUGCAUGGAAUACAAAGCCCACAGGGCCUACUGAAGUUGUAUAGUUUGGCUGUUUUGGGGACCGUAAGAUUUAGAAACCUUCUAGAUUCCACCGGAGAUUAACAGCCUCUCCCGUUUCCUGUCUCCAAAUACACUUUCGCUUUCAAACAUGAGGGUUCUUGGAGUAAUUGCUACUCAAAAAUUCUGACCACUUUCUUUGAAUUUCAGUCUUUAAAAAAUUUCACGUCUCCGUAGAAGGGGUCUUAAAGAUCAUUUUCUUGGCACCCUUGAUUUCUUAGUAUCGACCUAGGAUUUUUGAGCAAUCAAGAGGCUCACAGGAGGCUCGCAGGCUGUAACAUUUCCUUUGUUUCUGAACAUCUUAGAACGCCAGACCCACCUAGGGUCCUGAAAUCAGGGCAUAGGGUUGCUUCAGUUUCAGCUUCUUCACAGCAGAGUAGAAUCUCCAGAUAUCUGAGAACCCGUAUCUUCCCCCACAUUCCAGCCUGUCUCUAACAGAGUCAUUACAUUUAUAGUAAACAUACCAACUCACCUCUUUUCUAAGGCUAAUUAUUAGUCCAAGGUGCAGAUGUAACUAUGCUGGGAUUUAUAAUGAUGACAAACAGGGCUCUAAAAUGUAUGCCUAGUUUACGUGGGCUUCUUCAGAUUGUGGUGUAAGUAAGGGUUCAUUAACCGUAGUAGCUCACACAUAGUAACAACCUCCAUAUUCAAGCAUAAAUCAGCUUUUAAACACAUGUGACUCACAUGUAGUCACUACUUCAUCUUGGUGAGUCCUACUCCUCUGUCUGCUGGAUAGAGCUGAACCUGCUGCCACUAAAGCUAGCCCAAUUUAAAAGGAGGAGAAUUGGGCUUUUACUCUCAAUGGGAGGAGUGCAAAUACUGCCAUGUUUAAUUUUG
RNAcentral lists this long non-coding RNA (4941 nucleotides) under Sus scrofa (pig). RNAcentral describes it as "lncRNA (ENSSSCG00000046915.1)". Lineage: Eukaryota; Metazoa; Chordata; Mammalia; Artiodactyla; Suidae. The record is from RNAcentral.